Molecule: unclassified non-coding RNA, 314 nt
Filed under: plant metagenome
Description: partial contains 5.8S ribosomal RNA, internal transcribed spacer 2, and large subunit ribosomal RNA
Rfam family: 5.8S ribosomal RNA (bases 1-105)
Source: RNAcentral
GAAAUGCGAUAAUUAAUGUGAAUUGCAGAAUUCAGUGAAUCAUCGAGCCUUUGAACGCACAUUGCGCCCCCUGGUAUUCCGGGGGGCAUGCCUGUCCGAGCGUCAUUGCUGCCCUCAAGCACGGCUUGUGUGUUGGGCUUCCGUCCCUGGCAACGGGGACGGGCCCAAAAGGCAGUGGCGGCACCAUGUCUGGUCCUCGAGCGUAUGGGGCUUUGUCACCCGCUCCCGUAGGUCCAGCUGGCAGCUAGCCUCGCAACCAAUCUUUUUAACCAGGUUGACCUCGGAUCAGGUAGGGAUACCCGCUGAACUUAAGC